CUUCCCAGAAACAAGGAGGUUCAUGUCAUCCCACCAGGGCUUCGACUUGCUGCAUUGAAUAACCAGGAACUGACUUUCUGGUUAUGGCUGGAUAAAAGCACUGGGUGAUGGAUGGGGUCAGGGAUGUUUCACAACAGCCACUCAGGAGACCUGGGAACAAAACCAGUCACUUACCGGAGAGGCCGUUCAUGGACCAGUUGCUCAUGUUCCCAGAUCCAGUGACCCUUCUCCUGGAUGUUGCUGAUUUUUAGAAGAAAAGCCAGUGGGCUCCCAGACAAAGUUAAAAAAGGACACUGAGCUGUGGAGGGGUUUUGGUAGCAGCAAUUAUUUUUCAAACUGGGAAGAUAUGAAUGAUAAAGGGACUGUGUCAGCUGCGGGGCUGUAGAUUCCAUGCCUUUUCCUAAACACUAUGAUUCAACCCUCCCACUGGAGUCUGCCUGGUGG
This 444-nucleotide long non-coding RNA is filed under the name Bos indicus x Bos taurus (hybrid cattle). RNAcentral describes it as "lncRNA (ENSBIXG00005019403.1)". The record is from RNAcentral. Lineage: Eukaryota; Metazoa; Chordata; Mammalia; Artiodactyla; Bovidae.